UCCAGCCCAGAGCAACAUUUUAUGAUCCAGUGUCAAGUUCCUGAAAAAUGAAAAAUGAGGGGAAAGAGGGUUUAACUGUAACAUGGAUACAUUUUGGACUGGAUGUUAACCAAUUGAAAAAGGUAAUGCGCCAGAGUCUAUCCAUGGUCUGAGGAUAAAAAGACAAAUAACACGUGGUUACUGCUUUCAUUAUCCACUGGAAAGGAAAACCAGCUUUAUGAGCCAGGAGCACUCAGAUCAAUUUGGAGCCACUCACGUCAGCAAUCCGGAAAUGGAUGGUAACUCUCUUGGGCUACUUCCCUGACAUCUGGAAUCCAUGAAGAGUUCAAGACAUUGCUGGAAGCAGAGAUGGAUAAGAUGUUACCCACACUGGUUCUGGCCCCUGUGAUCCAUUUACCCUGAGGAGAAAUU
Long non-coding RNA from Lynx canadensis (Canada lynx), 411 nucleotides. RefSeq lists it as uncharacterized. The record is from RefSeq and is a predicted model, not a curated record. The transcript has 4 exons. NCBI's taxonomy places the organism in Eukaryota, Metazoa, Chordata, Mammalia, Carnivora, Felidae.